GACGAACGCUGGCGGCGUGCCUAAUACAUGCAAGUCGAACGCUGAAGAGAGGAGCUUGCUCUUCUUGGAUGAGUUGCGAACGGGUGAGUAACGCGUAGGUAACCUGCCUUGUAGCGGGGGAUAACUAUUGGAAACGAUAGCUAAUACCGCAUAACAAUGGAUGACACAUGUCAUUUAUUUGAAAGGGGCAAUUGCUCCACUACAAGAUGGAACUGCGUUGUAUUAGCUAGUAGGUGAGGUAAUGGCUCACCUAGGCGACGAUACAUAGCCGACCUGAGAGGGGGAUCGGCCACACUGGGACUGAGACACCGCCCAGGCUCCUACGGGAGGCAGCAGUAGGGAAUCUUCGGCAAUGGGGGCAACCCUGACCGAGCAACGCCGCGUGAGCGAAGAAGGUUUUCGGACCGUAAAGCUCUGUUGUAAGUCAAGAACGGGUGUGAGAGUGGAAAGUUCACACUGUGACGGUAGCUUACCAGAAAGGGACGGCUAACUACGUG
RNAcentral lists this ribosomal RNA (497 nucleotides) under uncultured bacterium. RNAcentral's name for it is "partial 16S ribosomal RNA". It matches the Rfam family "Bacterial small subunit ribosomal RNA", at positions 28 to 507 of the family's 1533-position model. The record is from RNAcentral.